This 486-nucleotide ribosomal RNA is filed under the name uncultured bacterium. Its description in RNAcentral is "partial 16S ribosomal RNA". It matches the Rfam family "Bacterial small subunit ribosomal RNA", at positions 30 to 507 of the family's 1533-position model. The record is from RNAcentral.
AUUGAACGCUGGCGGCAUGCCUUACACAUGCAAGUCGAACGGCAGCACGGGUGCUUGCACCUGGUGGCGAGUGGCGAACGGGUGAGUAAUACAUCGGAACAUGUCCUGUAGUGGGGGAUAGCCCGGCGAAAGCCGGAUUAAUACCGCAUACGAUCUACGGAUGAAAGCGGGGGACCUUCGGGCCUCGCGCUAUAGGGUUGGCCGAUGGCUGAUUAGCUAGUGGGUGGGGUAAAGGCCUACCAAGGCGACGAUCAGUAGCUGGUCUGAGAGGACGACAAGCCACACUAGGACUGAGACACGGCCCAGACUCCUACGGGAGGCAGCAGUGGGGAAUUUUGGACAAUGGGCGAAAGCCUGCUCCAGCAAUGCCGCGUGUGUGAAGAAGGCCUUCGGGUUGUAAAGCACUUUUGUCCGGAAAGAAAUCCUUGGCCCUAAUACGGUCGGGGGAUGACGGUACCGGAAGAAUAAGCACCGGCUAACUACGUG